AUUUAACCUCCUGAGACCCGGGCUUUUGUUUGAUGUGCAUUUUUUAUGUCUCCUUACUAUUUGGGAUUAGUAUGACCUGAUUUUAGUUGAAAUUAAAUUUUAGCUUUCUAUGUGCUCUUGAACUAUGUCAAAACCAAUGCCCUCAUAUGAGGACAAUGGGUCUGUUUUUGCAUAUACAUUUCUCCUUGUCAUUUGGGAUCAUAAGGACCCAAUUAGCCUAAAAAUGAAAUUUUAGCGUUCUACAAUAAGUGGUUAUCUCAAAACCCAAUGUCCUCAGACGAGGACAUUGGGUCUAUCUGUGUGACGAUAAGACCAUUCAAUCAAUGUUAUUAUUUACAUCUGUGUUUACAAAAAUGUAAUGUCCUCAUAUGAGGAUGCAGGGUCUCAGGAGGUCAAAUUCCUUAAAAAAUGGAAGU
Molecule: long non-coding RNA, 416 nt
Organism: Xiphophorus hellerii (green swordtail)
Lineage: Eukaryota; Metazoa; Chordata; Actinopteri; Cyprinodontiformes; Poeciliidae
Exons: 3
Source: RefSeq, a predicted model, not a curated record